GUUUGUGAGGGUGAUCUGUCUGUGACAUCUGUGACCUUAUUGAUCACCACAGUUGAUUUGGCUGAUAUCACUGGCUUGGUGUGUUUCAACACUUCUUUCUUCACCAAUACAUGGGAGCUCCACUCCCACCAAGAAGCUGUGUGUUGAAUAGAGGAGAAUUGCCUUCCCAACGUUUCCACCAAAGUUAAAGAGUGAUUAUACUCUGCCACUAGAAUACACCAAACAAGGCCCCAAGGUCCGUUGCAGUAUGUAUUUUCCUUACUAAUGUCCCAAGAUUGUGAGUUUCUAUAUAAGGACAAAAUCUAUUUGA
Non-coding RNA from Cricetulus griseus (Chinese hamster), 310 nucleotides. The record is from Rfam. NCBI's taxonomy places the organism in Eukaryota, Metazoa, Chordata, Mammalia, Rodentia, Cricetidae.